Long non-coding RNA from Triticum dicoccoides, 2062 nucleotides. RefSeq lists it as uncharacterized. The record is from RefSeq and is a predicted model, not a curated record. NCBI's taxonomy places the organism in Eukaryota, Viridiplantae, Streptophyta, Magnoliopsida, Poales, Poaceae. The transcript is spliced from 5 exons.
UGUAUUUUAGUUCUAGAUACAUCCAUUUCAGCGACGAGUAAUUUGGAACGGAGGGAGUAGUAAUACUGUUUAACAAUCUGCAGCUUAAUCAUCUUACAAAUACCAAUCAUAUCCCCUUUCUCACUCUAUAGCAAAUAGAUCAGGACCUGGGCUUUGUUAUUCUCCUGAUUCUGAAAGUUAACCACUUGAUCUUUUAUUGCUUAAAUAGUGUACUCACGUACUGUCCGAUUGACGCAUCAGUGUAGGAACCAGGUUUAGUUAUAAAGAAAAAUCAAGAUUUGUAAAUUAACAAAUACAACGAUGUUUGGUUGCUGGACACGAAGGUACUUCCAUAUUUUCACCAUGAAUACUGGAAUAGUUCAUCUAAUUCGAGUGGUAACUAAUGUAAUUUACGAAAAUAACCAAGUCAAAUGAGAAAUCUAAGAAGCAAAAAACACCAGCUGUUGUCAGGAAUGCUUCUGUUACCUUUUUGCAUACAAUCACCAAAUGCUUGCCAAGAUCAUGAUUCAUUGAACAUCCGUAGGCUGAAUAGUGUUUGCUAGCAGAGACCUAUAAAGUGUAUUUAGAAAAAACAAUGCGUGAAAUGAGGCAUCGAUGUACAAUUGCAUUGACAUUUGUUCUUUCGUAACCAAUAGUUUUACAUGGCACUAUUAAUUUAGCUAGGAGUUCAGUUCCAUCAGUUUUGUUCUAAUGUUUUGUUCAUUUAUUUAUUUUUGCGGGAUAACAUUACUAUUUUCUAUUCGAACAUACGGAGAAACAGCACAAGGUGUCAUCCCAGCGGAUAAUAUUAGUAAAUUUAAGAUCAGAAUUCGAGAAGGAGUGAUCUACACGAUCCAGCAUUACCUGAUUCUGAGAGCAAAUGAAAAAUACAGAGCCACUGAUCAUCCUUUCAGGCUUUCUUUUAUUAAUACAAAUACUGUGUGUCCCGUCAACCCUCAGCCUCCUGGUUUUCCUCUCAUCGCUCAUAAUGCUCUUCCAUUCUCGGAACUAGAAAAACGAAACGGAUAAAAUGUGCUUAUGUCAGAUGUAAUUGGUGGAAUUACCGGAAUCAUGGAUUUUCUUCCUCCUACUGUAAAUGCACGGGAGCCAAGACGUCAAAUCUUUAUUACCAAUCGACAAUAUAUCAUUUUCUCACAUUUACAGCAGUGUACAUCAUCCAUGAAUGACCACUUCUACAAAAUCCAGCAACUUAACUAGUUAUGCAGGAGACACGCAAUCGUUAUGCUUUGGGGAGAUUUUGUACAGUCCUUUGAUGCAGACACACUGCGCUCCUGAGCCCUGGCCAAGAGGGAACCCGUUUUGGUACUGUUUGUUGGGGUCAUGGUAGAUCGGUAUGCAGAGGCUGAAGACCAGACCGACCCACCUUUUGCCGAGUUUACUUUCUUUGGGCAGCAAGAACUAAUAACCGAAACAACUGCAGCAGCCCAUCCGAAGGGGUUCGCCACCUGAAAUAGAGAGGCUUCGCGGCAAGAAAUUAAUUACUACAUUCACUACAAAUGAUAAGACUCUGAGAGCCAGUCUUCUGCCAUUUCAAAGUGUAAGCAAUAGAUCACUUAGAAAACGAAAGACCACUUGCACAGUUUCUGAUGCGUAAUCCAGCAGCAGUUCCAGACAUUCAUGGCUCUUCAUCCUCUGCAUCUGCAACAAUUGAAGGUCAUCUUGCAACACAACCGCCUAUUAAGGACGGUCAGCAGAGUAAUUCACCAUCUGAAUCAGAAUCAGCUGAGCCACUUAAUGACAAGAUAGGCUCAAGUGACAAGAAAAGGUCAGCAGAAAGCAACAAGCUUGCGGACACAUAGGCGAACAAGAGCCUGCAGCAAAAGAGUUGUUCCAUGCAGCAACCGCCCAGGAAAGUGGAGCUACUACAGAGAAGUAGACCACCUCUCGAAUGUAGUUCUAUCCAGUAGUCAAACCAGGCACAUUCUAUUAUGUAUAUGAACCAAGAUGUAGAUAUGCAUUUAUGCCCGUCGAACUAAGUAGGUCGUGUUAGUAUCUUCUGUUGCACAAGCGUACUGUGAGCCUUAAGCAUGUCGUUUGCAUCACAAUAACAUCCUUUUGGCCA